RNAcentral lists this signal recognition particle RNA (283 nucleotides) under Ipomoea nil (Japanese morning glory). RNAcentral's name for it is "Plant signal recognition particle RNA". It matches the Rfam family "Plant signal recognition particle RNA". Lineage: Eukaryota; Viridiplantae; Streptophyta; Magnoliopsida; Solanales; Convolvulaceae. The record is from Rfam by way of RNAcentral.
GUUUCAUUCAUAGGGAGCAUUAAUAUGGUGGAACAAUUGGGCUUGCCCGGAAGGUUGGGCUAGGAGUACUAUAUUCUGGCCUGCCCGUUCCAAGUGGUGAGUUGUGCCGUGGAUUCUCUCCGAAGGAGGAGGCUUCUCGGUCCUUAGAUUGGAGGGCACCGCGUGAGGCUGGCUUCACAGAGCAGCGAUAACCUCCUCCUCUUUGCAAUGGAAGGAUAACAUGCUGGUGCAUUCGCGGUCCAUUUAGCACCAGCUGCGCUGCUCAAAUUGAACCACCAUCUAU